Molecule: microRNA precursor, 165 nt
Filed under: Oryza brachyantha (malo sina)
Lineage: Eukaryota; Viridiplantae; Streptophyta; Magnoliopsida; Poales; Poaceae
Description: MIR812 microRNA precursor family
Rfam family: MIR812 microRNA precursor family
Source: Rfam by way of RNAcentral
UACAAUGUUUUAACUUUUUGUCUUAUUCGAAAUUUUUCUGCAAUUAAUAUUUUUUUCUUACUAGAUGAUAAAAUAUGAAUAAUAUUUUAUGCAUGACUAAUUUUUUAAGUUUUUAUACAAAUUUUUCAAAUAAGAUGAAUGGUCAAAUAUUAGACACAGAAAAAC